RNAcentral lists this long non-coding RNA (393 nucleotides) under Homo sapiens (human). RNAcentral describes it as "non-protein coding lnc-PEAK1-3:2". Lineage: Eukaryota; Metazoa; Chordata; Mammalia; Primates; Hominidae. The record is from RNAcentral.
CUGCGCGACGGCGCAGGGGCUGCGGGGAGCGCCGCGCAGGCCGUGCAGUUCCUAGCGAGGAGGCGCCGCCGCCAUUGCCGCUCUCUCGGUGAGCGCAGCCCCGCUCUCCGGGCCGGGCCUUCGCGGGCCACCGGCGCCAUGGGCCAGUGCGGCAUCACCUCCUCCAAGACCGUGCUGGUCUUUCUCAACCUCAUCUUCUGGCCCAUCUGGACUUUGCACCCGGAUAAAUCUUUUAAAACGUUUCCUCUAUCACAUCACUUGAUCUGAAAAUAAGGAAAACAGAAGCUUCAGCGGUAGAAUAAGGUUCAACUCCUUCCCCUGGUCUUGGAGCAGAAGUCCUCAGUCUGGUCCCAAAUCACCUUGCCUCUCUGAACUUGUCAUUUCCUUAAACAC